UAAAAUUAUAUUGGAACUACAAAUUAAAAUAGAUGAAAUUGAAAUAUAUUAUUUUAAUUAAUUUUUAAUAAUAAUUAAUUUCCUCUUCUAGCAGCUGUCAGUCAUAUAUACCAAACCCUUUAAACCGUACACCAUCCUCUUCUCUU
Molecule: long non-coding RNA, 146 nt
Organism: Hibiscus syriacus
Lineage: Eukaryota; Viridiplantae; Streptophyta; Magnoliopsida; Malvales; Malvaceae
Exons: 3
Source: RefSeq, a predicted model, not a curated record